Non-coding RNA from Avibacterium paragallinarum, 263 nucleotides. The record is from Rfam. NCBI's taxonomy places the organism in Bacteria, Pseudomonadati, Pseudomonadota, Gammaproteobacteria, Pasteurellales, Pasteurellaceae.
GAGAGGGGCUGCUCCUAGUACGAGAGGACCGGAGUGGACGCAUCACUGGUGUACCAGUUGUCUCGCCAGAGGCACUGCUGGGUAGCUAAAUGCGGAAGAGAUAAGUGCUGAAAGCAUCUAAGCACGAAACUUGCCUCAAGAUGAGUUCUCCCUGACUUAAAGUCAGUAAGGGUUGUUGGAGACGACGACGUAGAUAGGCUGGGUGUGUAAGCGGUGUGAACCGUUGAGCUAACCAGUACUAAUUGCCCGAGAGGCUUAACUAU